This 343-nucleotide ribosomal RNA is filed under the name Nematodes sp. OTU213. RNAcentral's name for it is "SSU rRNA". It matches the Rfam family "Eukaryotic small subunit ribosomal RNA", at positions 1300 to 1664 of the family's 1831-position model. The record is from RNAcentral. Lineage: Eukaryota; Metazoa; Arthropoda; Insecta; Coleoptera; Eucnemidae.
GGUGGAGUGAUUUGUCUGGUUAAUUCCGAUAACGAACGAGACUCUGGCCUACUAACUAGUGGUCUGAUCCUGCGGGGUCUGAUCGACUUCUUAGAGGGACAAGCAAUGUUCAGUUGCAUGAAAAAGAGCAAUAACAGGUCUGUGAUGCCCUUAGAUGUCCGGGGCUGCACGCGCGCUACACUGAAAGAAUCAGCGUGUGGGACUGCCUGGCUUGAGAGAGUCGGGUAAUCCGGUGAAAAUCUUUCGUGAUUGGGAUCGGGACUUGCAAUUAUUUCCCUUGAACGAGGAAUCCCUAGUAAGUGCAGGUCAUCAGCUUGUGCUGAUUACGUCCCUGCCCUUUGUA